RNAcentral lists this long non-coding RNA (825 nucleotides) under Cricetulus griseus (Chinese hamster). RNAcentral's name for it is "lncRNA (ENSCGRG00015041073.1)". The record is from RNAcentral. Lineage: Eukaryota; Metazoa; Chordata; Mammalia; Rodentia; Cricetidae.
UCUCAGGGUUUUUUGAUUGCACAGGGUCAGUAGCAGAACCCCUGAAAACCAAAUCUAUCCACUAGGGAAAGGGUGACCCCAGUCUCACAAAGAACUCAUUCCCUGGAGUUUAGCCUGGAUUCAUUCCAGUGGCCAAAAGAGGCCACACAAGUCACAACCUGCCUGUGACCCUGUGGCUUCUAGACUAGGUCUGUCCUGGCUGAAUUUUAAACAAAAAGCCAGCAGGCCAAUUGUUCAGACCUGGUUAGCCCUUUCUUAAGUUUACUCUGGGGUUCGGGUUUGUGUUCUAACGAAAAUCAAAAUGUUUUCCUUACUGUAGAUCCAGGAAGGCUCUCUGAAAGGCUCCCUCCUUGGGGCUCAACUCCUCCAGCCUGGGAGAGGACUAGCCCAAAGCCGACAAGAAGGGGGUGGGGCUGAAGACAGUGUGAGGGAAAGGGAAUGGAAGUCUCCUUGGCUGUGUAUCUAGGUAACAAGUGACUGUCUAGGACCUCAGAGUGACUGAAGUGUGAUCCUGUGUCUCCAAUCAAAAUGGCAAAAACACAGGCCCUAAAAGGGGACACAACUUGCCUAAAAGGGGUUCUUUCUAUCUAUAUAGUAAAUGAUAAAGGGGAGCUAAAAGAAAGGGAGAGAGAAGGACAGGGGAGGAAGGAAGAGAAAUGGUGAGAAGAGGUGCGAUUGGAAACUAGCUCUCUAUGGAUCCAGUUCUAUUCAGUCAACUAAAGCAGCCCUGACCUUGGGCCAUUUUUUUUCGCCAUUACUCUUGAGGCUUCUAUGUAAUGAAGGAAUUGAAACGGACCUAGAUCAUCGCUGAAGACUUUUCCUGAA